Long non-coding RNA from Lycium barbarum (goji berry), 759 nucleotides. RefSeq lists it as uncharacterized. Lineage: Eukaryota; Viridiplantae; Streptophyta; Magnoliopsida; Solanales; Solanaceae. The record is from RefSeq and is a predicted model, not a curated record. The transcript has 3 exons.
ACAGUUACAAGUUUACGGUUUUUAUUUAAUCUUCUUUACGGUUAUCUCUUUGCAUUCUUCAUUGUCAGUCGAUGGCCAUUUUUGGUACUUUUCUACUGAAGUAGCAAAAAUAUCCAUCGUCGACGACGACUAUGAAGGCAACAAUUACAACCAUAUGCCAUAAGAAAGACAAUAUCUUGAGAAGGUGAUUGAACACAUGGAGGAACAUGACACAUGUUUGUUUGGGGAUAUUGUGCUCAGUUCAUUUUGUCCUCAGAUUCUUAAAGUCUCCACUCCCAAUUAUGAAUACAAUGUGAUCCUCCAGAAAUCUACUCCUUAAUACUAUAAAAACGACCCAGAUGAGAAGAGCCAGCAGCAAUCUUGCGAAUUCCGCAAUCACGAUUACAAGUUCGAGUUGACUAGAUAGCAAUUCUGUCAAUGGGCAUCUGAGCUAGGCUUUAUGGCAUAAUUAUGACUUUGAGUUCAGUGACGUUGAACAAGAACCUAACAAAGAACCAAAAUUUGCCUCCCAAAUUGCUGUUUUUAGAAGAAAAUAUAGCAGUCCCAUGAAUGGGGAUUUUACUAAACACUAUGAUGUUAUCUGGGAAUGGAGUAGUAGCAAUAAUUUAAAAUCUUAACACUAGAUGUUCUAACAAACUCAUUUUUGCUACAUUUUGGUCAGUGAUAUGGAUUCCAGAAGCUAUAGAAAUCUACUCCUCUGUUAAUACGGUUUUCUUUGUAUUCAUUACGUAAUUGUUUCUGCAAUUUAAUUCGCAUUGC